RNAcentral lists this ribosomal RNA (427 nucleotides) under uncultured bacterium. Its description in RNAcentral is "bacterial SSU rRNA". It matches the Rfam family "Bacterial small subunit ribosomal RNA", at positions 355 to 775 of the family's 1533-position model. The record is from RNAcentral.
UGGGGAAUCUUGCGCAAUGGGCGAAAGCCUGACGCAGCGACGCCGCGUGGGUGAUGAAGGCCUUCGGGUUGUAAAGCUCUGUGGGGAGAGACGAAUAAGUCGUAGCGAAUACCUACGAUGAUGACGGUAUCUCCUUAGCAAGCACCGGCUAACUCUGUGCCAGCAGCCGCGGUAAGACAGAGGGUGCGAACGUUGUUCGGAAUUACUGGGCGUAAAGCGCAUGUAGGCGGCCUCUCAGGUCGGAUGUGAAAUCCCUCGGCUCAACCGAGGACGUGCAUUCGAAACCGGGAGGCUUGAGUUCCGGAGAGGGUGAUGGAAUUCUAGGCGUAGAGGUGAAAUUCGUAGAUUUCUGGAGGAACACCGGCGGCGAAAGCGGUCACCUGGACGAGAACUGACGCUGAGAUGCGAAAGCGUGGGGAGCAAACAG